GAUGAACGCUGGCGGCGUGCCUAAUACAUGCAAGUCGAGCGAACGGACGAGAAGCUUGCUUCUCUGAUGUUAGCGGCGGACGGGUGAGUAACACGUGGAUCACCUACCUAUAAGACUGGGAUCACUUCGGGAAACCGGAGCUAAUACCGGAUGAUAUUUUGAACCGCAUGGUUCAAAAGUGAAAGACGGUCUUGCUGUCACUUAUAGCUGGAUCCGCGCUGCAUUAGCUAGUUGGUACGGUAACGGCUUACCAAGGCAACGAUGCAUAGCCGACGUGAGAGGGUGGUCGGCCACACGGGAGCUGGAACACGGUCCAGACUCCUACGGUAGGCAGCAGUAGGGAAUCGUCCGCAGUGGGCGAAAGCCUGACGGAGCGACGCCGCGUGAGUGAUGAAGGUCUUCGGAUCGUAAAGCUCUGUUAUUAGGGAAGAACAUAUGUGUAAGUAACUGAGCACAUCGUGACGGUACCUAAUCAGAAAGCCACGGCUAACUACGUG
This 497-nucleotide ribosomal RNA is filed under the name uncultured bacterium. RNAcentral's name for it is "partial 16S ribosomal RNA". It matches the Rfam family "Bacterial small subunit ribosomal RNA", at positions 28 to 507 of the family's 1533-position model. The record is from RNAcentral.